RNAcentral lists this ribosomal RNA (483 nucleotides) under uncultured bacterium. Its description in RNAcentral is "partial 16S ribosomal RNA". It matches the Rfam family "Bacterial small subunit ribosomal RNA", at positions 28 to 508 of the family's 1533-position model. The record is from RNAcentral.
GACGAACGCUGGCGGCGUGCCUAACACAUGCAAGUCGAACGGAACUGUUUUGAAAGAUUUCUUCGGAAUGAAUUUGAUUUAGUUUAGUGGCGGACGGGUGAGUAACGCGUGAGUAACCUGCCUUCAAGAGGGGAAUAACAUUCUGAAAAGAAUGCUAAUACCGCAUGACAUAUCGGAACCACAUGGUUUUGAUAUCAAAGAUUUUAUCGCUUGAAGAUGGACUCGCGUCCGAUUAGUUAGUUGGUGAGGUAACGGCUCACCAAGACCGCGAUCGGUAGCCGGACUGAGAGGUUGAACGGCCACAUUGGGACUGAGACACGGCCCAGACUCCUACGGGAGGCAGCAGUGGGGGAUAUUGCGCAAUGGGGGCAACCCUGACGCAGCAACGCCGCGUGAAGGAUGAAGGUUUUCGGAUUGUAAACUUCUUUUAUUAAGGACGAAAAAUGACGGUACUUAAUGAAUAAGCUCCGGCUAACUACGUGC